This 253-nucleotide ribosomal RNA is filed under the name uncultured bacterium. RNAcentral's name for it is "partial 16S ribosomal RNA". It matches the Rfam family "Bacterial small subunit ribosomal RNA", at positions 524 to 776 of the family's 1533-position model. The record is from RNAcentral.
UACGUAGGGUGCAAGCGUUGUCCGGAAUUAUUGGGCGUAAAGAGCUUGUAGGCGGUUUGUCGCGUCUGCUGUGAAAUUUCGGGGCUCAACCCCGAACUUGCAGUGGGUACGGGCAGACUAGAGUGUGGUAGGGGAGACUGGAAUUCCUGGUGUAGCGGUGAAAUGCGCAGAUAUCAGGAGGAACACCGGUGGCGAAGGCGGGUCUCUGGGCCGUAACUGACGCUGAGGAGCGAAAGCAUGGGGAGCGAACAGG